Molecule: long non-coding RNA, 1069 nt
Filed under: Cyanistes caeruleus (blue tit)
Lineage: Eukaryota; Metazoa; Chordata; Aves; Passeriformes; Paridae
Description: lncRNA (ENSCCEG00000016295.1)
Source: RNAcentral
AGAAUUGAAACUAGAUGAUACUUCCCUUCCUCUCUGCAAAAGAAAUCUGGCUUUCCCUUGUUUCUCCUUCUUUCUUAUUUCCUUUUUAGCUGAAUGAUACUGCCAAGCUAAAUAAAUAUAUGCAAAUUUUGCCUGUGCCUGACUCUUUUGUAGAUGUUGAACCUGGCACACUCUACCAGGUGGCAGGCUGGGGACACACACCACCAGAAAAGCCAACAAAAUAUCUCCAGAAGGCAACCCUUAAAAUUGUCAGUAGAAAAAGCUGUGACAAACAUUGUGCCAAUGACCCUAAAAUAACCAACAGCGUGUUGUGUGCUACAGGGAAUAGUAAAUUAUACCCAAGCGAUGCUUGUGAGGGAGAUUCAGGUGGGCCAUAAUCUGUGCUGGUCAGCACCAGGGGUUUGUUUCUUUUGGAGAAGAACAUGAAAAUUCAAGCAUACCUGGAGUUUCUACACAGCUGACUGAAGAAUUUAUUGACAGGAUAAAAAGAACCAUUUCCCAUGACAGAUCCAUGAAAGAGUCAAGAGCAUUUUAACGAAUACUGUGCUGUGCAAUAGAGCUGGGUCCUGCUGCUUUGACACACCUCCUUUGAAAUGUUCCUCCCAGCUUUACAGCUUUGCUGACACCACCACAGCUUUAUGAGAACCGUUCAAAAUAUCCACAUUUAUACAGAUAACACCUUUACUAAUCUUUAGCAGGAGACUGCCACUUAGAAAACAUAAUUUGUAUUGGAUUCCACUCUACUUUUUACUGGGAUGGGAAAGUAUUCAUUGCACCUGGGAUAAAGCAAUAUUUGUUAAUGUGUAUGUACACAAAAGUUCAGUUUCAGACUGAGUGUGAAUGAGAUGUCUGCUGAAUGAGAAAAAAUUGAAAAAAAAAAAAAGGAAAAUCUUAAAAUGUUAAAAUAUUUAUCUGUAAUUUUAUUAAACCCCAAAUACUUCAUUUUACCAUUAUUGAAUAUUUAUUUAUUUCUUUAUUUUUCUAAAUUCAAUUUCAAAGAGUUAAAAUAUUAAAUAGAGAGAAACAGUUUUUCCAAUAAUCUUCAUAAUAAAAAUACAAAUAUAGAGAU